RNAcentral lists this ribosomal RNA (492 nucleotides) under uncultured bacterium. RNAcentral's name for it is "partial 16S ribosomal RNA". It matches the Rfam family "Bacterial small subunit ribosomal RNA", at positions 29 to 507 of the family's 1533-position model. The record is from RNAcentral.
AGUGAACGCUGGCGGUAGGCCUAACACAUGCAAGUCGAACGGCAGCACAGUAAGAGCUUGCUCUUACGGGUGGCGAGUGGCGGACGAGUGAGGAAUACAUCGGAAUCUACUUUUUCGUGGGGGAUAACGUAGGGAAACUUACGCUAAUACCGCAUACGACCUACGGGUGAAAGCAGGGGAUCUUCGGACCUUGCGCGAUUGAAUGAGCCGAUGUCGGAUUAGCUAGUUGGCGGGGUAAAGGCCCACCAAGGCGACGAUCCGUAGCUGGUCUGAGAGGGUGAUCAGCCACACUGGAACUGAGACACGGUCCAGACUCCUACGGGAGGCAGCAGUGGGGAAUAUUGGACAAUGGGCGCAAGCCUGAUCCAGCCAUACCGCGUGGGUGAAGAAGGCCUUCGGGUUGUAAAGCCCUUUUGUUGGGAAAGAAAAGCAGCAGGUUAAUACCCCGCUGUUCUGACGGUACCCAAAGAAUGAGCACCGGCUAACUUCGUG